Molecule: long non-coding RNA, 387 nt
Organism: Hyla sarda
Lineage: Eukaryota; Metazoa; Chordata; Amphibia; Anura; Hylidae
Exons: 3
Source: RefSeq, a predicted model, not a curated record
UAGACAGCGGUGGGAUCGGCGGCGGGAUCUGCGGCAGUGAGGAGGCAGCGGCAGAGCAGCGAUGGAGGCAGCAGUGAAGAUCAGUGUUUUUGGAUAUCUGCCACUGCAGUUUUAGAGCCAAAGUCAGAAGUGGAUCCAUAAGGGAGGAGAAGUCAGUGUGAUGUAACAGGCCCAGGCACCAGAAAGAUCUCACUGCUGCUCAGCAUAUCACCGACCAGCGACUAGCUUAGCGCACGUGACGUGAAAUGUCUGCACAAAAAGUUGGAAGAAGAUCAUGGCCAAAGUACAGAAAAAACUACGGACUCCAGCCGCAGCAGAUGAGUGGCAAAAGUUCAAUUAAACGUUAUGAUUUUUAUUUCAGCAGCCCGGCAUAGAGGAUAAAUAAAG